AGGCCCCGCCGGCAGCGCCGCCCGGCCCGGCUGGGAGGGAGGGAGGACCGGGGUGCGGCGAGCAUGGAGCGGGGCCGGGAGGGGGAGGAGGAGCUGGAGGAGGAGGAGGAGGAGGAGGAUGGCGGCCCGGAGAGCGCCCUGGAGAAGAGCCCGUUCCAGCUGACGGCCACGGAUGUCUACGACAUCUCCUCCGUGGUGGGCCGGGACCUGCUGCAGCUCCGCGCCGGGCCGCAGCUGCCCGCCGCCCGCGCCCGGCUGCAGUUCAGGAUCGUCAGGGUGCUGGAGAUGCUGGAGGCGCUGGUGAGCGAGAGCAGCGUGGCCGAGGAGCAGCUGCGGCGGGAGCGGGACAGCCUCCGGCGGGAGCUGGAGCAGCUGCGGGCGGCGGCCCGCGGGAGCGCCCCGCAGCCCAGCCUUGGACCAGAUCAAAUGGUGAUAGACCUCACAGACCCCAACCGGCCCCGGUUCACAUUACAGGAGCUCCGAGAUGUAUUGCAAGAGAGGAACCAGCUGAAAGCUCAGCUUCUGGUGGUGCAAGAGGAGCUACAGUGCUAUAAGAGGGUGGAAAGAGGAACAGGCAUCUGCCUUGCAGGGGAGCUGGGAAUCUCCCAUCUGUUCCCAGCCUUGGUGGCUGCGCUGGAGUGGGAUCAUCUCACAGAAAAGAGACCAAACUGAAGAACUGGAAAAAGAAGCCAGUGGCAGCAGUGCUGGCACCAGCAAGAACAGUGAAGAGAAGACAAUCAUCAAACGGCUGUUUUCUUUUAAACAUGGAAAAUGAGCAUCCUCAAGGACUUAACUGCUGCUCUUGAGAAUGGCACUGAUGAGCCUUGGAGGCGUUGGGAAAGACAAUGAUUGGAAGAAGCAGCAUCACUCCUACUGUAGAGAAUGAGCAAUCUCAUUAAAAUCAUGUUGUAUAAUAUUCUUUCAGAAUAGAUUUUACUCUUUCAGAAACUGUUAAAAGACACUUUUUGUAUUUCUUACUGUCAGACAUUACCCACAUGUAGAAAAUAAAACAUUUAUACAAAA
This is an RNA transcript of Corvus hawaiiensis (hawaiian crow), 1023 nucleotides long. It is a transcript of the gene named Rab interacting lysosomal protein like 2, with no coding region annotated. Lineage: Eukaryota; Metazoa; Chordata; Aves; Passeriformes; Corvidae. The record is from RefSeq and is a predicted model, not a curated record. The transcript is spliced from 5 exons.